UACAGGGGGUGCAAACGUUGCUCGGAAUUAUUGGGCGUAAAGCGCGCGUAGGCGGCUACUUAAGUCGGAUGUGAAAGCCCCUGGCUCAACUGGGGAAGUGCACCCGAAACUGAGUAGCUAGAGUGCAAAAGAGGGUCGCGGAAUUCCCGGUGUAGAGGUGAAAUUCGUAGAUAUCGGGAGGAACACCGGUGGCGAAGGCGGCGACCUGGGUAGAUACUGACGCUGAGGUGCGAAAGCGUGGGGAGCAAACAGG
This 253-nucleotide ribosomal RNA is filed under the name uncultured bacterium. RNAcentral's name for it is "partial 16S ribosomal RNA". It matches the Rfam family "Bacterial small subunit ribosomal RNA", at positions 524 to 776 of the family's 1533-position model. The record is from RNAcentral.